GACGAACGCUGGCGGCGUGCUUAACACAUGCAAGUCGAACGGAAAGGCCCUGCUUGCAGGGUGCUCGAGUGGCGAACGGGUGAGUAACACGUGGGUGAUCUGCCCCUUACUUUGGGAUAAGCCUGGGAAACUGGGUCUAAUACUGGAUAGGGCCAUGCUGUAGGUGGUGUGGUGGAAAGAUUAGUUUCGGUAAGGGAUGAGCUCGCGGCCUAUCAGCUUGUUGGUGGGGUAAUGGCCUACCAAGGCGUCGACGGGUAGCCGGCCUGAGAGGGUGGACGGCCACAUUGGGACUGAGAUACGGCGCAGACUCCUGCGGGAGGCAGCAGAGGGGAAUAUUGCACAAUGGGCGCAAGCCUGAUGCAGCGACGCCGCGUGGGGGAUGACGGCCUUCGGGUUGUAAACUCCUUUCAGCCAUGACGAAGCCCUUGUGGUGACGGUAGUGGUAGAAGAAGCACCGGCUAACUACGUG
RNAcentral lists this ribosomal RNA (469 nucleotides) under uncultured bacterium. Its description in RNAcentral is "partial 16S ribosomal RNA". It matches the Rfam family "Bacterial small subunit ribosomal RNA", at positions 28 to 507 of the family's 1533-position model. The record is from RNAcentral.